Triticum aestivum (bread wheat) is the source of this 123-nucleotide non-coding RNA. Lineage: Eukaryota; Viridiplantae; Streptophyta; Magnoliopsida; Poales; Poaceae. The record is from Rfam.
CAAGUACUCCCUCCGUCCGGAAAUACUUGUCCUAAAAAUGGAUGUAUGAGACUUAUUUUAAUUAUAGAUACAUCCAUUUGAUCCAUUUCGAGGACAAGUAUUUUCGGACGGAGGGAGCAGUCG